RNAcentral lists this long non-coding RNA (231 nucleotides) under Nicotiana benthamiana. Its description in RNAcentral is "long non-coding RNA (NBEN_LNC040424)". The record is from RNAcentral. Lineage: Eukaryota; Viridiplantae; Streptophyta; Magnoliopsida; Solanales; Solanaceae.
GGAUUUCAUAGCAAAAUCGCGUAGUUCUUCCAUGGACCAAAAAGAAAGAAACAACAAAGAACAACCCAGCUCAAACAAGCCAAGGCGGCAUAUUGGAUAGAGGGAACUCGAAGAUCUCGAAUCGAGAUCCAACUCCUCUGUCUCUCCUCUCUCGGAUAGUGCAAGCAUGAAGAAAAAGCCCCCCCUAAAGGAGGAUCUCUGUAAGGCAUCUCUCGCAUCCCUGAUACGGGC